RNAcentral lists this long non-coding RNA (983 nucleotides) under Marmota monax (woodchuck). The record is from RNAcentral. Lineage: Eukaryota; Metazoa; Chordata; Mammalia; Rodentia; Sciuridae.
CAUUUAGUUUAGCGUGAGCAUUUGGCUUAGUGUUUCUUUUAGGUUUAGGGUUAGGGUUAGGUUUAGGUUUAGGUUUAGUGUUAGUGUUAGUGUUAGUACUAUAGUUAGGGUUAGCAUUAGUGUUUGGCUUAGUGUUAUAAUUAGUUUUAGGUUUAGAGUUAGGGUUAAAAUAAGGGUUAGUGUCAGGUUUAGUGUUAGGUUUAGUUUUAAUGUAGGGUUAGGAAUAGGUUUACGGUUAGGGUUUGGGUUAGAGUUAGGUUUGAUGUUAUUGUUAGGUUUAGGUUAGUGUUAGGAUUAGGUAAGGGUUAGGGUUAAGGUUAGGGUUGGUUCAUGGUUAGGAUUAGGGUUGGGUUUAGUGUUAGGAUUACGGUGAGUGUUAGGUUUUCGGUUACAGUUAGAGUUAGGGUUAGUGUUAGGUUUACGGUUAGGUUUCAGGUUAGGAUUACUGUUAGUGUUAUUUUUUGGUUUAGGGUUAGUGUUAGGGUUAGGUUUAGGUUUAGGGUAAGUGUUAGGGUUAGGUUUAGGGUUAGAGAAAGAGUUCAUUUUGGAGUUAGGGUUAGGGUUAUUAUAAGGUGUAGUGUUAUGAUUAGGGUUAGGGUUAGUAUUAGGAUUAGAGUUAGUGUUUGAGUUAGGUUUAGGUUUAGGAUUAUGGUUAGAGUUAGGUUUAGGAUUAGGAUUAGUGUUAGUGUUAGGUUAUUGUUAGGGUUAGGGUAAGUUUAGAGUUAGGGUUAGGGUUAGGAAUGGUUUUACGGUUAGGGUUAGGGUUAGUGUUAGAGUUAGUGUUAGUGUUAGGGUUAGGGUUAAUGUUAGGGAUAGGGUUAACCUAAGGUUAGGGUUAUGGUUGGGGUUAUGAUUUGAGUUAGUGUUACUGUUAGGGUUAGGGUUAGGGUUAGGAUUAAGUUUAGUGUUAGGUUUAGGGUUAGUGUUAUGUUUAGGGUUAGUGUUAUGAUAAGGAUUUGUGUUAGUGUUUGGUUAAGGGUUAG